This 1284-nucleotide long non-coding RNA is filed under the name Sus scrofa (pig). The record is from RNAcentral. Lineage: Eukaryota; Metazoa; Chordata; Mammalia; Artiodactyla; Suidae.
CCGUGGCAAAGCCCUGAAAGCCUCGAAAGAUCCGUAGUUCAUCUCAAGGGAAAGUCUAUUUCUCAUUCAGGUAACAUUUCGGAAUGGGUGCUCGCACACCGGCAGCUGGAGCUCCUCCACGGGGUGACUAAUGUUCCCAGGAUUCUUCCACCUUUUUGGCUUUGGCAUCACCUAAGACCUUGGCGGACUUACUCUGCUACCAAAGUGGGGAAGGAGAAAGAGUGAAAAUGGCACACUCACUUCUUUUAGAGAAGAAUUCCGACGUGGCAUCUAUCCUGUCUGCUCUGGUUUAGCCGAGGAAGAUUAGUCAUGGGUCCACAGCUGGGUGCAAGAUAGACUGGGUCUAGCGCCCGGUGGGACAGUGUCCUCCCGUGAGGACACCACAUCAUAUAAAAGAAGCCAUGAAAGUUGGGUGCACAGUAGGCCAUGGCUGCUCCCAUGGGAGAUGCGCUAGGGGAAAAGAGGGCCGUGAUUCCGGGUAAAAGGAGGCAUGACCUUGAGUCCAGACCUCAGGGCAGGCUCGCCUGAUGAUGCUGAGACUCCGUGGGAGGGUGAGUGAGGAUUGAUGAAGUGUCCACACGGGAAAGCAGAGGAGACAGCUUUCAAGAAAACCUCGAGUCAGGAAAUAAUUUUGCCAAUUCUAAGGAGUCGAGAUGAUCCCGACAGCGUGGAGACGGGAAAGCAUUGAGGAGACGCUUCAAUAGGGACUGAAUGUGUAGGGCUUUGUAAAAGGCUCUGUAAAGAUUUGGGAUUUUAUCUUUAGGAGAACGGGAAAGGUUUUGCACAUAAGCCUGGCAAAAUCAGAUUUUUUUUUUUGUCUACAUUGUAUUUAUAUGACCACUUCCUCCAGACGGAAUCAGAGGAGGCCUAAAAAUAACAGCUAGGAGUUCCCAUCCUGGCACAGCAAACUGAAUCCGACUAGGAACCAUGAGGUUGCAGGUUGGAUCCCUGGCCUCUCUCAGAGGGUUGAUGAUCCGGCAUUGCUGUGAGCUGUGGUGUAGGUCGCAGUGGCAACAGCCCCAAUUCAACCCCUAGCCUGGGAAGCUCCAUAUGCCACAGGUGUGGCCCUAAAGAGCAAAAAUAAAAAAAUAAAAAAUAAAAGCAUAACAGGUAAUACUUGCUGAGCACCUGUUAAAUGCCAGUCACUGCUCCGAGUCCUCCAUCAGGGAGUUUGCUUAGUUCAUUCAAGACUCUGUCAAGGGGUUUCCUUUAUUAGGUCCAUUUUACAGAUGAGGACACUGAGGCAGGUUAACUAAUUAGCCCUGGGCAUCAAGUAAAUGGUGG